AAUUGCCCGUGCGAUUGCAGCAGCCGCCGCCGCCUGAAAUCUCUCACCACCGGCCCCACCAACUGCUGCCGUGCUACUUUCUCCAAUACGCAAGCUCGUUGCCUGCCUAUUCUCCUCCCAUCCCCCCGUCCCUCAUCCCUGGAAACACCCGUAUCGCAUCAGAUCUCGUCUCCGACUCCGACUCGACUCGACUCCGACUCCGGCAAAUGGGAUCCCUUUAUACCUAUCUGUCUAUAUAAAGGGAAGGGAUGGAUUCACAGGUCUGU
RNAcentral lists this long non-coding RNA (266 nucleotides) under Setaria viridis. RNAcentral's name for it is "long non-coding RNA (SVIR_LNC010226)". The record is from RNAcentral. Lineage: Eukaryota; Viridiplantae; Streptophyta; Magnoliopsida; Poales; Poaceae.